Molecule: unclassified non-coding RNA, 326 nt
Filed under: plant metagenome
Description: partial contains small subunit ribosomal RNA, internal transcribed spacer 1, and 5.8S ribosomal RNA
Source: RNAcentral
UUUCCGUAGGUGAACCUGCGGAAGGAUCAUUACCGAAAAACAUACUCAUCAUGACGAGGGUGUAAAGAAUGUGUAAAAAAUGUUCUUUAUAUGCUUGUCAUUUUGUGUUGAACCCCUUGUGUGAACACUGUUUUCUAUGUGCAUGUCAGCCAGUAAAAGACAUUUUUUUGUCUUUUGCUGACUGUGCUUGCACAUGAUCAACACCCCAUCAUUUAUAACGCCAAUCUUUUGGACUUAAUCUAUCUAUUUUUUUGCUGCUUGUUGAAAAACAAUCUUCAAAAAAUUAAAAUCAUAAACAACUUUUAACAACGGAUCUCUAGGCUCUC